This 789-nucleotide ribosomal RNA is filed under the name Metarhizium sp. RMK-2011b. RNAcentral describes it as "SSU rRNA". It matches the Rfam family "Bacterial small subunit ribosomal RNA", at positions 681 to 1533 of the family's 1533-position model. Lineage: Eukaryota; Fungi; Ascomycota; Sordariomycetes; Hypocreales; Clavicipitaceae. The record is from RNAcentral.
AUGAAAUUCUAUUAUACCAAAGGGACUCGGUAAAGGCGAAGGCAGCCCUCUAUGUAAAAACUGACGUUGAAGGACGAAGGCACAGAGCACAAACAGGAUUAGAUACCCAAGUAGUCUUUGCAGUAAAUGAUGAAUGUCAUAGGUUAGAUUAAGCUUUAAUUAAUUAGUUUAUCAGUAAUGAACUAACUAUUAAACAAUAUUUAGUCCAUAAAUGAAAGUGUAAGCAUUCCACCUCAAGAGUAAUGUGGCAACGCAGGAACUGAAAUCACUAGACCGUUUCUGACACCAGUAGUGAAGUAUGUUGUUUAAUUCGAUGAUCCACGAAAAACCUUACCACAAUUUGAAUAUUUUACAGGAGUUGCACGGCUGUUUUCAGUUAAUGUUGUGAAACUGUGGUUUCCAUGAAAUUAACGCAAUCCCUGGCUUUAUUUUUUUUUUAUUACGAAAAAGCAUUUGAUCCAGGAUUUGGAAAGAAAAAGGGGACAAAGACAAGUCAUCAUGGCCUUGAUAUUGUGGGCUAUAGACGUGCCACAUAUUCCUACACAAAGAGAUGCAAAAAUGUGAAUUUAAGCUAAUCUCUAAAAAUAGGAUAUAAAUUUUAAGGAUUAUAGUCUGAAACUCGACUAUAUGAAUAAGUAAUUACUAGUAAUCGUGAAUCACCAUGUCACGGUGAAUUUACCUUGGAUUGGUACUAACCACUCGUCACAUGCUGAAAAGAGCAUGCGCAAUAAGUUUGCUUUCUUGAUGAUCAGUAAAAAGAAUAAGCAGGUUCUAUAUUCUAUUAUUAGG